Molecule: ribosomal RNA, 253 nt
Filed under: uncultured bacterium
Lineage: Bacteria
Description: partial 16S ribosomal RNA
Rfam family: Bacterial small subunit ribosomal RNA
Source: RNAcentral
UACAGAGGGGGCAAGCGUUAUUCGGAAUUAUUGGGCGUAAAGGGCGCGUAGGCGGCUUUGCAAGUGACGUGUGAAAUCCCUCGGCUUAACUGAGGAACUGCACGGGAAACUGCCUGGCUUGAGUUCGGGAGAGGGAAGCGGAAUUCCGGGUGUAGCGGUGAAAUGCGUAGAUAUCCGGAGGAACACCGGUGGCGAAGGCGGCAUCCUGGACCAAUUCUGACGCUGAGGAGCGAAAGCCAGGGGAGCAAACGGG